Molecule: long non-coding RNA, 1460 nt
Filed under: Prunus dulcis (almond)
Lineage: Eukaryota; Viridiplantae; Streptophyta; Magnoliopsida; Rosales; Rosaceae
Description: sRNA ncRNA
Source: RNAcentral
UACUUAGUAAAAAACAUAGCCUUCUAAUCCCAGUGCACGUACUGUUACAGCUCCAACCUCACCAUGUUUCCGCAAGCACUUCUUCUGCUCCUCCUUCUUCAUUGUUGUCACAUCGUUGCUUCAUCAUCCAUCAUCAACAACCUACCGGGUUUUUCCGGCGACCUCCCCUUCAAACUUGAAACUGGGUUGGUAUUUCUUUGUUUUUGUUUUUGUUUUCAAAUCGGGGUCUUGUUUCGCAUCUAUAUAGAGGUGUCCUUAUGUGUUCUCCUCUCUCAGUUUAGUUGUUCAUCUCUUUCAUGCUUUGCUGUGAACGAAAGGAUAUUUCUAUGGUAUAUGGUACUAAUUAUUAUUAAUUUUUUUUUUUUUGGUUCCCUCUAUGAAUUAUACUCUAUAUCAAUUAAUACGUACCAAUUGCAAUGAUGAGAAUGAAAAUUAUGAUUUAAAUUAUAUAAAGGUACGUUGCGGUGGGCAAUUUGGAUGAUAUUCAGUUGUUUUAUUUCUUCAUCGAGUCGGAGAGAAGUCCCAAGGAAGAUCCUUUACUGCUUUGGCUCAGCGGAGGUCCUGGUUGCUCUUCUUUUACUGCCAUGGUAUACAACAGUACAGGUACAUUAUUAUCUCAACUCUUUAUAUCGUACUCUCCACUUAUAUUAUAUGAUCAACAAUUCUCAUUCACAGUCUGACAACAAAUAAAAAAAUUACUCCGUAUAUUGCUGAACCGGGAAUUCCCCCUCCAGAAUUAUUUUGAAACUGUACAAAACCAUUAGUUGGAUUUUGACUGGAAGGUAGCUAUCUAUAGGUCAGUGUACAGUAACAUCAAAGAAUUAAUGGUUGUUAUCAUAUAACAAUUUGAUAACCUCAUCUGUUUUUCUUUUUUCUUUUUUGGAUUGGAACAAGACAUCGUUGAUCUUCAUCCAAACAUGCACAAAGAAUUUGUGAUCAUCCUAUAAAGGAUAUCAAAUGACUUUGCAUUUGAUAAAAAUAUUUUUGGUACGUCCAUUAAUUUUCAACUACGCAAAUUCUAGUGGGAACGAACCAACAUUUUUGUUGAAUCCAGACGCAUGGACAAAGGUAAGAUCAGAGAGAAACCUACUGCUAAUUAAUUUAUGAUUUGUCAAUAACUUAACCCCGAAUGCAUAUUGAAAAAUGUUCAGAUUGCCAACGUAAUAUUUUUGGAUCAACCUGUUGGUACUGGAUAUUCCUAUGCAAAAAGUUGGGAAGAAUACCGGGCUGGUGAUACAUUGUCAUGUACUCAGACCUAUGAAUUUCUAAGGAAGGUGAAAAUUUGGCAUAGUAUUGACUAUCAUCGAAAUCUCACCAAGAAAAACCUUAGAGCACUGGUUUACAGGUACACUGAUUAAUAUUCUUAAUUUUCUCCAUUUCCAAAUUUUGUCUAUCCAUAAAAAAUCCACUACCGUUUGUGUGAAAAAAACCGAUGAAUUCAGUAUUCUUCUGUCUGAAAU